UCCAGCAGGACUGCGUUAAAAGGGACUUUGAGAUGCUUGGUUUUAUUUCUUAAGCUGCUAAAAACGGCAAUACAUGUCACCUUCCGGCUGACCCCAGGCACGGCAGGAAGAGGUGUCAGGCAGCAGCCCUGAUGCACUAACCCCUUCUCAUGGUGUACAAGGAUUGGCUAUUGACUAAUAAGUUCUUGCAAACUUCCCUGGGGGAAAGACAGAGCAGUCCUGAGGAUUAAAACCAUUGGAGCCCACCAAGUUACGCCUACCCUACUCUCUGCACUUUGAUGCUUGUGGCUGACCGCGCCCGAGGCCUGGGUGUCACAAACUCCUCACCUGGCGUCUUGCUGGAGGCAUUGCUGCUUUUCCAUUAACGGCCCUCUUCCUUUAAUUACAGAUCUGCACACGUUUGGCCAGGCUGCCAGCUUUCUGGGGCACUUCAUCCUCAGACAACGGCCCCCAUGUCUCGGCAUGAGAAAGGACAUUGUGGACCUGACUUUCCCAUCACUCUGAUCUAGUAACGUUUUAUACCCACGGAUGUAAAUGACACACGCGGGGCAGGCAAUGGUGAAUCAGGCCCUAUGAAGGUCAGCAUGGCAGGACCUCAAUAUCCUCGGGAGGUGCGCGCUGGAGGAGAAACCCAUGAAUAUGGAAGGUGGAAAAAAUGAAUGUUUAAUAACCGCUGACCAAAGGCAGUCCAGCAGAACAUCGCCUUUCCCUGAUGCGCUGAGGAUUAAGUUUGGGAUGUAGCUCGCUUUUCUCCAUUAGCUACGUACUGUCUCACAGAAAUGCCAUCUGCCAGUAUGAAAAAUGAAGCCAAUUAGGAACCAGCAGACUGCAUGGGCCAACAAGCACUUCAGCAGCUCCUGAGUUUGUGAAUAACAGCAACAGCCAUUUAUCUUACUAGUCGCAUGGCAUUUUUCGCCUUUCUGUGGCAUGGAUCCAGUCGGGCAACAGGCAGUAGCAUGGAAUAAACAGUAGCAGGAUUAACUCUGGUAUGGGAUGGGAAAUUUAUCAUGGAAUGUAGCAUAUGCCCUCCCCUACACUAGGGGGCUGCAUAACCAGCGUCUAGGUAACAUGACUCAGUGCUGCAGUCGAGGAGGCUAUGUUCAAAAAUAUGUCCCAAAGUUGAUUUUCCUGUUGGUUUGCAAUUGUAUAGACCCUGUCCAUAAUAUUUUUUGCCCUUGAUUUUAACCAAAAGGAUUUGCUUCCUUGAAAAGAGCAGGUUCUGGUAAAGCAGGUGUGGUCGACUUUUCUAGGCUUGUUGGCUACAUUUGCAAUCAUGUCACAGUUCAGGGAAAUUGCACCUGUAUUCCCCCUUCCUGGUCCAGCAAGGCAUCCACUCCUACAGUCAGAGAGAGGAUUGCAGCAGAUGGGCCCGCGCUAGCUUUGCUCGAGCUAGUGUGAAUAACAGUAACAAUGAAGUCAGGGCAGCACAGGCGGUACAAGCCCACCAGGACCCUGGGUACGUACUUAAGUGGCUAGCCCACGCUGACAUGGCUUCACUGCUUUUGAGCCGGCUAAAUCAAAGUUAGCACGUGCUGCAGUCACACCGCUGACUGCAGUGUAGAUGUACC
Non-coding RNA from Chrysemys picta bellii (western painted turtle), 1568 nucleotides. Lineage: Eukaryota; Metazoa; Chordata; Testudines; Emydidae. The record is from RefSeq and is a predicted model, not a curated record.